RNAcentral lists this ribosomal RNA (472 nucleotides) under uncultured bacterium. Its description in RNAcentral is "partial 16S ribosomal RNA". It matches the Rfam family "Bacterial small subunit ribosomal RNA", at positions 28 to 507 of the family's 1533-position model. The record is from RNAcentral.
GACGAACGCUGGCGGCGUGCUUAACACAUGCAAGUCGAACGCUGAAGCUUGGUGCUUGCACUGGGUGGAUGAGUGGCGAACGGGUGAGUAAUACGUGAGUAACCUGCCCUUGACUCUGGGAUACGCCUGGGAAACUGGGUCUAAUACUGGAUACGACAUGUCACCGCAUGGUGGUGUGUGGGAAGGGUUUUACUGGUUUUGGACGGGCUCACGGCCUAUCAGCUUGUUGGUGGGGUAAUGGCUCACCAAGGCGACGACGGGUAGCCGGCCUGAGAGGGUGACCGGCCACGCUGGGACGGAGACACGGCCCAGACUCCUACGGGAGGCAGCAGUGGGGAAUAUUGCACAAUGGGCGGAAGCCUGAUGCAGCGACGCCGCGUGGGGUAUGACGGCCUUCGGGUUGUAAACCUCUUUCAGCACGGAAGAAGCGAAAGUGACGGUACGUGCAGAAGAAGCGCCGGCUAACUACGUG